CCUACGGGAGGCAGCAGUGAGGAAUAUUGGUCAAUUUUCUUUAUCCUUAACCAUCCCCUUCUCUUUCUUGAAGACGGUCCUAUGGAUUGUAAACCUCUUUAGGCGGGGAGCAAUGCCGGGCACGCGUGCCCGGAGGGAGAGUACCCGCAGAAUAAGCAUCGGCUAACUCCGUGCCAGCAGCCGCGGUAAUACGGAGGAUGCGAGCGUUAUCCGGAUUUAUUGGGUUUAAAGGGAGCGUCGGCCGCAUGUCAAGCGUGCUGUGAAAUGCCCGGGCUCAACCCGGGCCUUGCAGCGCGAACUGGCGUGCUUGAGUCCGCGGAAAGCAGGCGGAAUUCGUCGUGUAGCGGUGAAAUGCUUAGAUAUGACGAAGAACCCCGAUUGCGAAGGCAGCUUGCUGCAGCGGAACUGACGCUGAUGCUCGAAAGCGCGGGUAUCGAACAGGAUUAGAUACCCUAGUAGUC
This 461-nucleotide ribosomal RNA is filed under the name uncultured bacterium. Its description in RNAcentral is "partial 16S ribosomal RNA". It matches the Rfam family "Bacterial small subunit ribosomal RNA", at positions 338 to 795 of the family's 1533-position model. The record is from RNAcentral.